AAAGUACUCCCUCCGUCCCAAAAUUCUUGUCUUAGAUUUGUCUAGUUAAGGAUGUAUCAAGUCACAUUUUAGUAUUAGAUACAUCCGUAUCUAGACAAAUCUAAGACAAGAAAUUUGGGACAGAGGGAGUACUUG
Non-coding RNA from Triticum aestivum (bread wheat), 135 nucleotides. The record is from Rfam. Lineage: Eukaryota; Viridiplantae; Streptophyta; Magnoliopsida; Poales; Poaceae.